GCCCUCGUCGAUCAAUGGAGAUCACCGACCUCCGUUUCGAGGUAUGGCAUUGACACGUACAUAUAUACCGAGUCGGCGCCGGGGUUCGAAUCCCCCGAGGGCA
This is a non-coding RNA of Mycena vulgaris, 103 nucleotides long. Lineage: Eukaryota; Fungi; Basidiomycota; Agaricomycetes; Agaricales; Mycenaceae. The record is from the annotation of a GenBank genome assembly.